This 72-nucleotide transfer RNA is filed under the name Schistosoma japonicum. RNAcentral's name for it is "tRNA-OTHER". Lineage: Eukaryota; Metazoa; Platyhelminthes; Trematoda; Strigeidida; Schistosomatidae. The record is from RNAcentral.
GACUCAGUGGUUCAGUGGUAAAGCGCUCGUCGCUAAACUAGAGGGUCCUGGCUUCGAUCCCUGAUGGGGUUG